GCUGGGCAUGGUGGCUCAUGCCUGUAAUCCUAGCACUUUGGGAGGCCAAGGCAGGUGGAUCACCUGAGGUCAGGAAUUCACGACCAGCCUGGCCAACAUGGUGAAACCCUGUCUUUA
Molecule: non-coding RNA, 117 nt
Filed under: Homo sapiens (human)
Lineage: Eukaryota; Metazoa; Chordata; Mammalia; Primates; Hominidae
Source: Rfam by way of RNAcentral